Molecule: ribosomal RNA, 253 nt
Filed under: uncultured bacterium
Lineage: Bacteria
Description: partial 16S ribosomal RNA
Rfam family: Bacterial small subunit ribosomal RNA
Source: RNAcentral
UACGAAGGGGACUAGCGUUGUUCGGAAUCACUGGGCGUAAAGCGCACGUAGGCGGAUAUGUCGUUCAGGGGUGAAAUCCCGGGGCUCAACCUCGGAACUGCCUUUGAUACAGCAUGUCUUGAGUCCGAUAGAGGUGGGUGGAAUUCCUAGUGUAGAGGUGAAAUUCGUAGAUAUUAGGAAGAACACCGGUGGCGAAGGCGGCCCACUGGAUCGGUACUGACGCUGAGGUGCGAAAGCGUGGGGAGCGAACAGG